AUUGAACGCUGGCGGCAUGCUUUACACAUGCAAGUCGAACGGUAACAGGCCGCAAGGUGCUGACGAGUGGCGAACGGGUGAGUAAUGCAUCGGAACGUGCCCAGUCGUGGGGGAUAACUACUCGAAAGAGUAGCUAAUACCGCAUACGAUCUAUGGAUGAAAGCGGGGGACCGUAAGGCCUCGCGCGAUUGGAGCGGCCGAUGUCAGACUAGGUAGUUGGGGGGGUAAAGGCUCACCGAGCCAACGAUCUGUAGCUGGUCUGAGAGGACGACCAGCCACAGGUGUGAUGAGAUGCUCCCCAACCCCCUAAGGGAGCCAGGAGUGAGAAUUUUUGGAAAGGGGGCGGAAGCCAGACCCAGAAAGUCGGCGUGAGAGAAGAAGGCCCAUGGGUUGUAAACGGUUUUUGUACGAAGCGAAUAGGCCUUUGUUAACCCCCGGGGUAAAGACCGGACCCGGAAAAAAAGGCCCGGCCAACCCCGUG
This 481-nucleotide ribosomal RNA is filed under the name uncultured bacterium. Its description in RNAcentral is "partial 16S ribosomal RNA". It matches the Rfam family "Bacterial small subunit ribosomal RNA", at positions 29 to 507 of the family's 1533-position model. The record is from RNAcentral.